Molecule: ribosomal RNA, 594 nt
Filed under: uncultured bacterium
Lineage: Bacteria
Description: bacterial SSU rRNA
Rfam family: Bacterial small subunit ribosomal RNA
Source: RNAcentral
AUCGAACGCUGGCGGCAUGGCUAAAACAUGCAAGUCGAACGCGAAAGCACUUCGGUGCAAGUAGAGUGGCGAAAGGGCGAGUAACGCGUACCUAACGUGCCCCCGGGCGAGGGAUAGCAGCGGGAAACUGCUGGUAAUACCUCAUAACCCCGUCAUGUCGCAUGGCAUGGCGGGCAAAGGCUUGCCACCCGGGGAUCGGGGUGCGUCCUAUCAGCUUGUUGGUGAGGUAACGGCUCACCAAGGCCAAGACGGGUAGCGGGUGUGAGAGCAUGACCCGCCGCAUCGGGACUGAGACACUGCCCGGACUCCUACGGGAGGCUGCAGUAACGAAUAUUCCGCAAUGCGCGAAAGCGUGACGGAGCAAUGCCGCGUGUGGGAUGAAGCCCCUAGUGGUGUAAACCUCUGUCAGGGUUCAGGAAUUUUGACCAGACCCAGAGGAAGGACCGGCUAACUCUGUGCCAGCAGCCGCGGUAAUACAGAGGGUCCAAGCGUCGAUCGGAAUCACUGGGCUUAAAGGGUGCGCAGGCGGACGGGCAAGUGCGUUGUGAAAUCCCAUGGCUCAACAUGGAAUUGCUUCGCAGACUGCUCGUCUGA